GGAUGUGAGGCCAAUCUAGCUUCGACAUCUGUUACCCCACUGAGCGCCAGGCUUGAAGUGACUGAUCUGGCUGACUAGGUGGGUGUCCUUUGCUUCUCUUACUGCUUCAUGUGCAUCCCUCCUGAAUAGAGGAGGAGAGGCCUUUGGUUAAGGGUAUAAAAUUAGCUGUGCUCCCCUGCUAAAACAAUGUAAGUUCUUUCCUGUACACUUCCAGAGGCCAGAAAACUUAAAUUAAUUUUUUGUCACUAAUGUAAAAAUGUAGGAAUGCUGGCUCAUGUAU
This is a non-coding RNA of Cricetulus griseus (Chinese hamster), 280 nucleotides long. The record is from Rfam. Lineage: Eukaryota; Metazoa; Chordata; Mammalia; Rodentia; Cricetidae.